Molecule: ribosomal RNA, 468 nt
Filed under: uncultured bacterium
Lineage: Bacteria
Description: partial 16S ribosomal RNA
Rfam family: Bacterial small subunit ribosomal RNA
Source: RNAcentral
GACGAACGCUGGCGGCGUGCUUAACACAUGCAAGUCGAACGGAAAGGCCCUGCUUUUGUGGGGUGCUCGAGUGGCGAACGGGUGAGUAACACGUGAGUAACCUGCCCUUUACUUUGGGAUAACUUCAGUAAACUGGGGCUAAUACCGGAUAGUAGCUCCUGCUGCAUGGUGGGGGUUGGAAAGUUUCGGCGGUUGGGGAUGGACUCGCGGCUUAUCAGCUUGUUGGUGGGGUAGUGGCUUACCAAGGCUUUGACGGGUAGCCGGCCUGAGAGGGUGACCGGCCACAUUGGGACUGAGAUACGGCCCAGACUCCUACGGGAGGCAGCAGUGGGGAAUAUUGCACAAUGGGCGGAAGCCUGAUGCAGCAACGCCGCGUGCGGGAUGACGGCCUUCGGGUUGUAAACCGCUUUCGCCUGUGACGAAGCGUGGGUGACGGUAAUGGGUAAAGAAGCACCGGCUAACUACGUG